Molecule: ribosomal RNA, 304 nt
Filed under: uncultured bacterium
Lineage: Bacteria
Description: partial 16S ribosomal RNA
Rfam family: Bacterial small subunit ribosomal RNA
Source: RNAcentral
CAGCAGUCGCCGCGGUAAUACGGAGGGUGCAAGCGUUAAUCGGAAUUACUGGGCGUAAAGCGCACGCAGGCGGUCUGUCAAGUCAGAUGUGAAAUCCCCGGGCUUAACCUGGGAACUGCAUUUGAAACUGGCAGGCUAGAGUCUUGUAGAGGGGGGUAGAAUUCCAGGUGUAGCGGUGAAAUGCGUAGAGAUCUGGAGGAAUACCGGUGGCGAAGGCGGCCCCCUGGACAAAGACUGACGCUCAGGUGCGAAAGCGUGGGGAGCAAACAGGAUUAGAUACCCCAGUAGUCCCUGUCUCUUAUAC